GACGAACGCUGGCGGCGUGCUUAACACAUGCAAGUCGAACGGAAAGGCCCUGCUUUUGUGGGGUUCUCGAGUGGCGAACGGGUGAGUAACACGUGAGUAACCUGCCCUUGACUUUGGGAUAACUUCAGGAAACUGGGGCUAAUACCGGAUAGGAGCUCCUGCUCCAUGGUGGGCGUUGGAAAGUUUCGGCGGUUGGGGAUGGACUCGCGGCUGAUCAGCUUGUUGGUGGGGUAGUGGCUUACCAAGGCUUUGACGGGUAUCCGGCAUGAGAGGGUGACCGGCCACAUUGGGCCUGAGAUACGGCGCAGUGUCGAACGGGAGGCAGCAGUGGGGAAUAUUGCACAAUGGGCGGAAGCGUGAUGCAGCAACGCCGCGUGCGGGAUGACGGCCUUCGGGUUGUAAACCGCUUUCGCCUGUGACGAAGCGUGAGUGACGGUAAUGGGUAAAGAAGCACCGGCUAACUACGUG
RNAcentral lists this ribosomal RNA (468 nucleotides) under uncultured bacterium. Its description in RNAcentral is "partial 16S ribosomal RNA". It matches the Rfam family "Bacterial small subunit ribosomal RNA", at positions 28 to 507 of the family's 1533-position model. The record is from RNAcentral.